RNAcentral lists this ribosomal RNA (436 nucleotides) under uncultured bacterium. Its description in RNAcentral is "bacterial SSU rRNA". It matches the Rfam family "Bacterial small subunit ribosomal RNA", at positions 958 to 1392 of the family's 1533-position model. The record is from RNAcentral.
AACGCGAAGAACCUUACCUACUCUUGACAUCCAGAGAAUUUGCUAGAGAUAGCUUAGUGCCUUCGGGAACUCUGAGACAGGUGCUGCAUGGCUGUCGUCAGCUCGUGUUGUGAAAUGUUGGGUUAAGUCCCGUAACGAGCGCAACCCUUGUCCUUAUUUGCCAGCACGUAAUGGUGGGAACUCUAAGGAGACUGCCGGUGACAAACCGGAGGAAGGUGGGGACGACGUCAAGUCAUCAUGGCCCUUACGAGUAGGGCUACACACGUGCUACAAUGGUCGGUACAGAGGGUUGCGAACCUGCGAAGGUAAGCUAAUCUCAAAAAACCGAUCGUAGUCCGGAUUGGAGUCUGCAACUCGACUCCAUGAAGUCGGAAUCGCUAGUAAUCGUGGAUCAGAAUGCCACGGUGAAUACGUUCCCGGGGUCUUGUACACACCG